This 224-nucleotide ribosomal RNA is filed under the name uncultured bacterium. Its description in RNAcentral is "partial 16S ribosomal RNA". It matches the Rfam family "Bacterial small subunit ribosomal RNA", at positions 99 to 334 of the family's 1533-position model. The record is from RNAcentral.
CGGACGGGUGAGUAACGCGUAGGAACCUAUCGCACAGUGGGGGAUAACACGGGGAAACCGGUGCUAAUACCGCAUGUGGUCAGAGAUGAAGAAAGCGAGCAAUCGCGCUGUGUGAGGGGCCUGCGUCCGAUUAGCUAGUUGGUGGGGUAAGGGCCUACCAAGGCGACGAUCGGUAGCUGGUCUGAGAGGAUGGUCAGCCACACUGGGACUGAGAAACGGCCCAG